AUGGUUGAGAGGGAAAAACCGAAGGAUAUCGCCCCCCUCAUCUUCGCAGCCUCCAAGCGGAAGAAGUGCGUGGUGAGGGAUGCACUGCGAGAAAAUGCUUGGGUGCGCCAGAUCAACCCUUCCAUCAACCUAACGACCAACCACAUCGUGGAGUUCGUGGACCUUUGGGCCCAUCUGGACCAAUUCGAGCCUUCACCAGAGAUUGAUGACGACAUAUCCUGGAAAUUUGAGGCGAACGGUGAGUAUUCGACGGCCUCUACUUAUAGGGUCCAGGUCUUGGGCUCCAUGACGACGACCAUGAACAAGACUAUUUGGAAGGUUUGGGCACCUCCCAAGGUCAAGUUCUUCUCCUGUCUAGCGAUUCAAAACAGAAUAUGGACGGCGGAUAGAUUGGAGAAGCGAGGUUGGGAGAAUUGCGGACUGUGCACCCUCUGCAGAAGGGCAAACAAGACGUCCGUGCACCUCUUCUUUCGGUGCAGGUUCACCUUGCGCGUGUGGAGAUUGGUAAAGGAGUGGCUUGGCCUAGGGGCUCUCGAGAUCCAUCAAUGGCAGGCGGAGCGCAAUAUCAAGCAUUGGUGGACAAACAUGUCGAAGCCCAAUACGGCGAACCGGAAGGCCAUGGCUUCCCUUACUAUGCUUGUUGGUUGGGCCAUUUGGAACGAGAGA
RNAcentral lists this ribosomal RNA (666 nucleotides) under Triticum aestivum (bread wheat). Its description in RNAcentral is "partial small subunit ribosomal RNA". Lineage: Eukaryota; Viridiplantae; Streptophyta; Magnoliopsida; Poales; Poaceae. The record is from RNAcentral.